UCUCAUGACUGGAACGUAAAUCUGAGAGAGACUGGUUGGGAAUAAAUAGACACCUGUCUUGGUUGUAACACGAUGGUGUUUGGUGGUUGGAAAGGAAAAGAUUUACUUGGGAAAAUCUCCAUAGUGACAUGAAAUCCCUGGUACCAGCUAAUGAUUUCUGGGCUCCUGGUUUAUAGCUCAGGAUAUGCCUAGUGCCCCAAAUUAUAUUAUAGGACGUGAUGGUGGCAGGCUUGCCCUGUCAUCAGCAUCCUCGGCGGAGAAGCCAGACAAGCGAGACGGCGGUUGCAGAACAGAGAUUCUUCUGGGGCCUUUAGAGGGAGAGCCUGGAAUCAGGCCUCCCCACCCAUGAAACUCAACGUCCGGUUCAAGCAUUUCUGGACCACAGGCUCCUGGUGAGUCCUGGUUCAUCUGUCUAGGGAGCCAUUUUCACCGCUGUGGUCGGACUUUAAACACCUGUGGUCAUCUUCCUGCAACCCCCCAACCAAGGCCUCCUCGUUCUGGCCAACCCCCAAGCCUUCAGGCGGCUGUGCCAACCACACCCCCGGAGACUCCAGCUGCGCCACCACUGCCUCUCCAUGGGGGGGAAGGGGUGUCGGAGGGGGGGGUCAGUUGUGCCUCCUGGUUUCUCGUCCCUGUUGGUCUUGGCCCUCCUUUGGUGGCUUCUGCUCUGGUCCCUAUCCUCAAGCUUAGGGUUCAUCUUGGUUUUUGCUUGUCUUCUGGAACAUUCCCUCUACAUGGCCCCCUGGCUGCUCUCAGUCUUCACCCACCCCGGCUAAUUGCCUCUUGGCCCAGAGCCCCCACUGACGCCCUCAUCCAUCCUCCCUCGGGAGGAGUCACUCCCAAGUCCAGUUUAGUCUUUCCAUCAGUCCACCAUGCUGGGAAGACCAACCUCCGUGUCCUGCACACCCCGCCGAGUGGCCUUCAUGCUGAGGGUGGGAGGGCAUGGUGGUUAAAAGUGGGCACCCUGGAGCCAGCCACUGUCUGGCUGCCCACCCCAGCUUUCCCUCUCUCUAGCUGGGAGUCCCAGGCAAGUUGGUGGCACUUUACAGCCUUGGAUUCCAUGUCUAUUAAACGGAGAUCGUGGUAGUAGCUACCUGAGGGGGUUGUUGGGAAGACUAAAUAAAUAAUUCACAAGACACAUUUAGAACAGGGCCCAGCAUAUAGUAAGUGUUAGGCAUUUACUAGUUUUCUAAGUUAAUCUGUAAAAGCUAAGCCAGCUGUAAGACACUGUUUCUGUAAUUUCAGGAGCGCUAUUAUUGUGUCAUGCUUAGUGUGCCCUGCCACACCUGAACCAGAAGCCUAAAAUCAAAACCAGGCUUAGGGGUCGGGGAGGGAAUUCCAGAUGCUUUUCUAUCUGUAAUUUUCUAAAAGAGCUCUCUCUCCUAAAGAAGUUGAACUUCAUGUUAAGUCCUGAAGCAGAUGUUUUUUUUUUUUUUUUUUAUUUUGGCUGUACCCACAGCAUGCAGAAGUUCCUCAGCUAGGGAUUGAACCCAAGCCACAGCAGUGACAACCCUGGGUCCUUAACCUUCUGAGCCACCAGGGAACUCCAGUUCUUGAAGAACACCUGUGGAAAACAUGCCCACAAAAAGCUGGUACCAUUUUCUCUAAUUCUUAUUCUUCUUUGUCAACUGACUCAGGAUCUUGGCUCCAAAGCUCUUGUGAUGGGAGCUUUCUCUGUUGCUGCUGGCUCCUUGUUGUCGCCCCACUGGGCUCUUAUCCCUCAGGGUUGAGCUCCUAUCACUGUCUUAACCACAGGAGGCCUCUACACCUUGCCAAGGAGGUUUGCAUUCCUUGCAAGGAAGGCGCUAAUUUAUUUUGCAGUGUUCUUGUGCCACAAGUUAGCUUCCUUUCUCUCACAGAUGUGGGAAGAAAGAAGUGCUUCAAAGCUCCAUGCUGACCUGGAGGGCAGACACAUUCCCCAGGGAGGCCCGAAGCCCCCGUGGUGCCAGUCUUUGCCCGUCCCCACCCAGGAGGACCCCACAGGCCACCUCCCUUCCCCUGCCAUGCACCUGCCCCUUCCUCUCUGGGCUGCUUCUGGGGCUGGUGUCUCAGGCUUUGACCUGGGACUGUUCCCUGCGGUGGCAGGGGCCCUGGCCUCCCAGUGAGAUCUCUGCAGACUGAGCCCCACCGCAGACACUCUAGAGGGAGGGACUGGGAUAGAAGGGAGGGUCUCUGCUUCCUGGGCCUGGCAGUGGCAGGGGGCGGGGUGAGGGGUCCAAGAGGCUUCCUACCAGGGUGAUGCCUGACCUGACUUUUAAAACACAAGCGAGUAGGUGUCUACCGUGGACAGUGGGGUGGGCUGGAGUGGGAUGAGAAUUCCAGGUAGAGGAAACACCUGGACCAGAGACGACGCGGACAGGGGUGUGUACGGGGGAGGUGAGGUGGUGAAGGGUGCCAGGACCCCUGGGCUCACUGGAAGGAGCCCUGGCUCCCCAGGAAGCUGAGCUUUAUAUUGAAAACCGUCCAUUCCAGCUGGUCUGACAGCGCUGGGUCUUCUGCGUGUCGAAGAACAGGAAAGCUCCCGCCAGAGAACAGGAUCAUCCCUGGGGUCCAGGAGGUUCGAAAACCAAACCUUUAACUUUGGACACCUUCCCCAUUUGUCAGUGGCCGGCCCGGCUCGGCUGCGGCCUCUGUGCCUGGCAGGAAACUGAAGGACCCUUUGGCGGGAGCCUCUGCCUGGAGAACCGGGCAGGUGUUCAGAGGGAGGCCUGACACGGGACUAUAAUUAAAUCGUGCUGACCCGCCUCUAGGAAGGCCCUCCCUCCAGGCAGGGAUUCCAAAGAAUCAUCCUGGACAGAUCCUCUCGUGAUGUAUAAUUACCCACGAUGAUUAAUUAGCUCGCCAGACCUUCGUAUUUAAUUAAUGAAUCGGGCAUUUAGUCAGUGUCUCUAAGUGACAGGCACUGCACAUCCCACAGGGGAGGCGGAGAGGGAAACGCGGUCCCCGCCCUCCAGGCGCUCACGGCGGAAGAGACGAAGCCGUGAACACCCCCCCAGUGACGGUGAUGCGCGCCUGUAAUCACAGCUGCUGCCCCGUGCUGGCCAGGGCUGGAGUCUGGAAGGAUGGGUAGGCGUUGAGUUGGUGGGCAGAGUGGAAGGAACCUUCUAGGCAGGUGGCACCGCAUUUUCUGAAGCAUGGAGUUGCGAAGAAGGCAGCAUGUGUGGGGAUCCCUAGCGGCGGCUCCUUGACUCACAGCGCAUCCGGCUUCCCCCACCUCCAGAGGCCCCGGCAGCGCUCGCCCUCUCCACUGCUCCCACUCCUGCCCCCCAGAGGCUCCAGGCCACUCUCGGGUCUGCAGAACCGGGCCUUAGAAGGAGCGUUGCCAUCUGAGAUGCAGGCUUUUGUGUUGCUAGGUAGUGAGGUGCUUAGAGAAGGGCAGGAGGCAAAGUCAGGGCGGUAGUUUGGGGCCAGGAGCCCUGUCUUUCUGAGUUCUUUCCGUUGAUGACAGAAAGCUACUAAAAGUUUUUAGGCUGGAGAGUAGCACAGACCAGUGCUGUAGAAAUAAACUACAUGCAGCGCAGAGCACCAUUCCACGUCUGUGCUGCGACCCCCUCAUGUGUGCAGGACCGACUAAGGUCUACAGGGGGCAUCCUUAGCAUGUCAGGAGGGGAGAGCGGACCGUAUCCCCAUCAGCUCUCUCACUCUCUCUGGGGAGGCACAAAAGGGGCUGGAGUUCCAUCUGCUCUGCUGAGAAUGUUGCUGGAUCUUGGGGUGGCCCCCUGCCCCACUUUGAGUAUAAUCGGGUACCAGAAACUACUGCUCAUCCUGUUCAGCAAGUUCUUUUCCUGGCUCCCAUGAUUUUGCAGAGUGGAUUUAGUGUAAUUCUUAAGGGCCCUAGGAUUCGGGAAAUGGUCCCUGGGAACUGGCUUCAAUUUAAAGGCCCAAGAGCGUCAGCCUGUCCUUUGAAGCUUUGAAGCUGAGCACUGACUUCUCCUCUCCAGCUGUGAACGUCCUGGAAGGCUGUUUAGUCCACAUUGAAAAUCUGUUGCUUCGUAUGGCCGCCUUCAUUAAUUAUCUCAGAUUUCCUGAAUAACUUGUUACAGCUUCUUUUUUUUUUUAAUUACUCAAUGAAUUUUAUUACAUUUAUAGUUGUCCAAUGAUCAUCAUUAUAGCAUUUACAUCCCAAACCCCCAGCCCAUCCCACCCCCCCCCCCCCAGCUUGCUGCAGCUUCUACAUCAGCCCUUUUAAGUGUGGAAAUGACCUCUUUUCUUGAACCUCAUGAACCAACCUCUGCUGGCUUCAAACGUUGCUUCGGCACCUUCUUCCCUCUCUCAGCCUUCAUAGAAUUGAAGAGUUGGGUCUUGUUCUGGAUGCGGCUCUGGCUUAGGGGAAUAUUCUGGCUCCUUUGAUCUUCUCCCCAGACCACACCAACGUUCCCCAUAUCAGCAGUAGCGGUAUGUUCACCACGGUGGCAUUUUAAUUUCCUGUAAGAACUUUGCUUUUUUGUUCACAACUUGGCUAACUGUUUGGCCCAAGAGCUCCGGCUCCCGGCCUGUCCAGGUCUUUGUGUCCUUCCUCACUAAGCUGACAUAGGUCUGGCUUUUGACUUAACGUGAGAGACGGUCGUGCUCUCUUUCACUUGAACACUUAGAGGUCAUUGUAGGGUUUCUAACUGGCUAGUUUCAAUUUUGUUGUGUCUCAGGGAACAGGGAGGGAGAACGGCAGGGGGGUGGCCCUGGUGGAGCGGUCAGAACACAUGUUCAUUAUUUAAGGUCGCCGUCUUAUAUGGUGUGGGGCGUGGCAUCACAGAACAACUGCAGUGGUGACA
This 4769-nucleotide long non-coding RNA is filed under the name Sus scrofa (pig). RNAcentral's name for it is "lncRNA (ENSSSCG00050011859.1)". The record is from RNAcentral. Lineage: Eukaryota; Metazoa; Chordata; Mammalia; Artiodactyla; Suidae.